UGCGGCUGGAUCCCCUCCUUUCUGGAGCAGCGAGUAACUCAGGCACCAACGCUGAGCGAAAGCUCUCAGAAGUCGCCCGCACUGCCUAUCCAUAGCUCACAUUGAUUCUGCUCUUUGACAAUCGAAGGACGGAUGUGUUGCUGUAAGGGAAUCCAAACCGUAGUUCCAGCCGGGCCGCCGCCAAGCGGUUCGGUGUAGUGCCAAUAGAUCGAGAUCAAACGCAAUAAGGCACACGGUGGAUGCCUUGGCAUCGAGAGGCGAUGAAGGACGUGGUAAGCUGCGAUAAGCCUGGGGGAGCUGCAUACGAGCUGUGAUCUCAGGAUGUCCGAAUGGGGAAACCCGG
Molecule: unclassified non-coding RNA, 343 nt
Filed under: uncultured bacterium
Lineage: Bacteria
Description: partial contains 16S ribosomal RNA, 16S-23S ribosomal RNA intergenic spacer, and 23S ribosomal RNA
Rfam family: Bacterial large subunit ribosomal RNA (bases 213-343)
Source: RNAcentral